AUGGUCUUGGCCGGCCGGCGGCGUGUGGAGGGACCGGUGAGGUGCGGCGGGAGCCCCUCUGCCGGUGUUCCAGCGGCAACAUACAUGCUCAUGUCGAGGCUGCGCACAGGUCCAGUCAGCUGCGGAAUCGGGGCGACGCAAUUUUUGGUGAAAAUCGUGCUGACUACAGUCAUGGCGUACGAUGGCGGCGUCUCUGAUACCGUCUCCUUCUCGAGACAUCGUCAUUGCAGGUUGUGUCACCAUGCUCAAGAUGCUCCAGGGGGCAAUGACGAUGCCUCUGGUGCCGUUCUCCCUUUUGAGGGCAUCGUUUUGGAGCAUGAGCUGGCUGAAGGAGACAAUAGGAGAAGCGGUGUUACAUCUACCGAAAGAAUAGUGGCGGAGACAUGGGGAACGAGCAGGGGCCCUGGCCCCCCUAACAUUGCUGUAUUAAGCCUGAUAUGCAUGCUAAUAAAUGAUCAAUGGUUGCUAAAGUGA
This 474-nucleotide ribosomal RNA is filed under the name Triticum aestivum (bread wheat). Its description in RNAcentral is "partial small subunit ribosomal RNA". The record is from RNAcentral. Lineage: Eukaryota; Viridiplantae; Streptophyta; Magnoliopsida; Poales; Poaceae.